This 463-nucleotide ribosomal RNA is filed under the name Vreelandella stevensii. Its description in RNAcentral is "partial 16S ribosomal RNA". It matches the Rfam family "Bacterial small subunit ribosomal RNA", at positions 338 to 794 of the family's 1533-position model. Lineage: Bacteria; Pseudomonadati; Pseudomonadota; Gammaproteobacteria; Oceanospirillales; Halomonadaceae. The record is from RNAcentral.
CCUACGGGUGGCUGCAGUGGGGAAUAUUGGACAAUGGGCGAAAGCCUGAUCCAGCCAUGCCGCGUGUGUGAAGAAGGCCUUCGGGUUGUAAAGCACUUUCAGUGGGGAAGAAAGCCUUGGGGCUAAUACCCUCGAGGAAGGACAUCACCCACAGAAGAAGCACCGGCUAACUCCGUGCCAGCAGCCGCGGUAAUACGGAGGGUGCGAGCGUUAAUCGGAAUUACUGGGCGUAAAGCGCGCGUAGGCGGUCUGAUAAGCCGGUUGUGAAAGCCCCGGGCUCAACCUGGGAACGGCAUCCGGAACUGUCAGGCUAGAGUGCAGGAGAGGAAGGUAGAAUUCCCGGUGUAGCGGUGAAAUGCGUAGAGAUCGGGAGGAAUACCAGUGGCGAAGGCGGCCUUCUGGACUGACACUGACGCUGAGGUGCGAAAGCGUGGGUAGCAAACAGGAUUAAUACCCCAGUAGU